This is a long non-coding RNA of Culex pipiens pallens (northern house mosquito), 808 nucleotides long. RefSeq lists it as uncharacterized. The record is from RefSeq and is a predicted model, not a curated record. Lineage: Eukaryota; Metazoa; Arthropoda; Insecta; Diptera; Culicidae. The transcript is spliced from 3 exons.
AGGAGCAUGUUGACAGCUCCCAUACAAACUGAGCGUACCCCUUUUUGUGGGCCCAGUGGGCCUAAGAUGGCGGCCUUUGAUAUUAUCUAGCCAAACUUUUGAAAAAGGCUAAUAGUUUAAAUAAAUAUAGUUUUUGGCUUGUUUCGGUUUAAAACGACAAAAUAAGCUGUCUGGAAUCAUUUUCUUCAAAAACUUGUUUAGAGAUACGCCGCGUUCAAAUAUUAGUUUAGAAUAGUUGAAGUGAGCGUGCAACGAAAGCCGUCACGAAAAAAAAGUUUCCUAUGCAAAUUUUGAGUUGCGUAUUUAAUGGGCGGACUCCGACGAGGCCCACUUGCCAUCUGUCGGUGAAUACGCGCAACUCACGAAAACUGUCAGCUUAGGGCCCGGCUGGUGAUGUGUGUUGUGCAACCAUUGCUAGUUUUUUUUAUUUGCCGCUUUAGGAACAAAAAUUAGAAAGUAGUUGCACACAACUUAUUUAGAAUGUCAAGCCAUUGUUUAAGUUCUUCAAAACACCUGAGCAGCAGCGGGACGGUUCUCUAGAUUCGUUCACCGGAGAUUUGCCUGCCCAUAAAGACCACACCGACAUCGAUGUCAUGCUGAUGACCGGUUCCGAUCGAUGAGGCAGUCAACCUCGACCCGGCUGCUGGAAGAUUCAUACACCCAGGCCGGAACGGGACCGUAAAUCCAGCCGAGGACAUGAGCAGAUGGAACCUGGCGGAGUCGUUGAUUGCAGCUUGAUUAUUGUAUUUAAAGAAAGUGUAUUUUGUGUAUUUUUUCCUCAGAAAUAAACGUUGUUUUUGCCUUUUAU